This is a long non-coding RNA of Culex quinquefasciatus (southern house mosquito), 332 nucleotides long. RefSeq lists it as uncharacterized. The record is from RefSeq and is a predicted model, not a curated record. The transcript is spliced from 2 exons. NCBI's taxonomy places the organism in Eukaryota, Metazoa, Arthropoda, Insecta, Diptera, Culicidae.
CGUGGUUUAUGGAUGGUCCCUAAGGCGCAAAUUUCCCAGUGUGUAUCAGUUUUAUUUUUGCGUGAACCUGGUCCAAUUCCCGCUGACUGAAGUGUUUAUUUAUGUGGGAAACUGCAGCCUAAUACAUCAGUUGUCUGGCGCGCAUCCUGGAAAUCGACGAGAAAAAUGCAAGAAUAACAUCAAAGUGUCACACUCACACAUGAAACGCAACAGGAGAAAAAAAUCAAAGGAGGCACACCACCAAGUGUGUGGAGCAGUGAUAUGGAUGCACAUACGGAUCAACUUAUGAAAUAAAUGCAAUAUAUUUGGAGUGACCACCUCGUGGUGGAGCA